AUACGGAGGGUGCAAGCGUUACUCGGAAUCACUGGGCGUAAAGGAUGCGUAGGCUGGAUGUCAAGUUGGAAGUGAACUCCUAUGGCUUAACCAUAGAACUGCUUCCAAAACUGGCAACCUAGAGUGAGAGAGAGGCAGAUGGAAUUAGUGGUGUAGGGGUAAAAUCCGUAGAUAUCACUAGGAAUACCGAUUGCGAAGGCGAUCUGCUAGAACUCUACUGACGCUAAGGCAUGAAAGCGUGGGGAGCAAACAGGAUUAGAAACCCUGGUAGUCC
RNAcentral lists this ribosomal RNA (274 nucleotides) under uncultured bacterium. RNAcentral describes it as "partial 16S ribosomal RNA". It matches the Rfam family "Bacterial small subunit ribosomal RNA", at positions 523 to 796 of the family's 1533-position model. The record is from RNAcentral.